UGAAGAGUUACGGGGGAAUGUGGUUGAAUAUUCAAAAAGGAAUGAAGAUAACAUUGAGCAAUGUCAGGACUUUCAGCUAGAUCUCAUCAGUGGCAGGGAUGCUCAGAGAGAGUCGCUUUUCCAGCACUUCUACCAAGCGCUCCAGAAAGCGUGGGAUCGAGAGAAACCUUCGGAUUGCGUCAUUGUCUCUAUGGAUACAAACCAGAGGUGACUUUAUGUCUUUUUAGCUUACCAAAUGAGGAUGUGUGCACGUUAUGAUUUAAGUGUGUAGUGUUGGGUAUAUAACUUACUGGGAGUCAGUAUUAGGUACAUUCCCUUAAGAUUGUCAAAAUGUCACUGCUGGCCUAACUAAUUGGAAGU
Molecule: long non-coding RNA, 360 nt
Filed under: Cricetulus griseus (Chinese hamster)
Lineage: Eukaryota; Metazoa; Chordata; Mammalia; Rodentia; Cricetidae
Description: lncRNA (ENSCGRG00000026227.1)
Source: RNAcentral